UACGUAGGGCGCAAGCGUUGUCCGGAAUUAUUGGGCGUAAAGAGCUCGUAGGCGGUUUGUCGCGUCUGCCGUGAAAACCCGAGGCUUAACCUCGUGGCUUGCGGUGGAUACGGGCAGACUAGAGGUAGGUAGGGGAGAAUGGAAUUCCCGGUGUAGCGGUGAAAUGCGCAGAUAUCGGGAGGAACACCGGUGGCGAAGGCGGUUCUCUGGGCCUUACCUGACG
This 223-nucleotide ribosomal RNA is filed under the name uncultured bacterium. Its description in RNAcentral is "partial 16S ribosomal RNA". It matches the Rfam family "Bacterial small subunit ribosomal RNA", at positions 524 to 745 of the family's 1533-position model. The record is from RNAcentral.